CGUUUUGUGUAACUAUGGAAUAUUUAUUAUUUAAAUUUCUCGACUGCCGCUCGGCGGCACUAAAUCAUGCGACAGGCCCGAAAACACUCGCAUAUUCGUAAGUUGUUUCUUUUUUUUUCGUCGACGCAUGAUUUAGGUGCAGCCAUAAAUUCAAUUUUAAGCUUUUUGGUAUUUCAUUUCGGUCUGGCUCCGGUCGGGAUCUGGUUUUGGAUGAGGGUACUGGUACCAGUUCGGGUCCGGGGCCAAGAUAAACACUUGACAACGUGCUAAGGCCGGCCACUGGCAACGGCAACGCGAUAAGCGCAUAAAUAAAGCCCCCGUAAUAAAUUCAGCGUCGCAUUUGACGCCGCCAUCGCAUCUGUGUAUCCAUGGAACUCUUUCGAGGGGGAAAGGGUAUUGUGACACUGACACUUGCCAUGAUUCUCCAAGCAACAAGCCCCAUGCUUCAUGGUCCUCCAGAGCCACUCACGACGACCACUUGGCCCAACUGUACCAUGCAUCAUCUGUGGAGGCUGUGUAAAUAAACCAUUGAGACAAGUCAUUAUUUCUGCGAGACAAGUCAACAUUUAUGAGACCUUUUAAGCCUUUCAGUAGAACCUAAGGAGGCUUUACUUAGUCUUUCAAUCGGAAGGUCAAGAAAAAACAUAUAUUGGACACAGAAUCAGAGGCUCAAGGGGAUUUUAGCAAAUAACAAACUAGCUAACAGGCUAUUUUUCAAAUUAUUUUAUGAUAUAAGCUAGCCACUGCCAUCUGGUCAGCUGUUGUUACCGGCCAUAAUUGCCCGGCAGGACGACGGAGAAUAUACGACAUCUGCGUCGAUGGAACAAAACACACUGUCGGAAAGGAUGAAAAUCCUGCAGACAGCAAUUCACGGCAAUCAAACAGCGCGGAACACGAGUUAAAAGGCGAAAGGAUGCGGCGCAGUGUGAGAGUGGCAAGUCCAUUAAAAGGACAUUCCACGCCGGCGAUCCACAUGUGUCCGCUCGACGUGCCGUGCCAAAAGGACGCAGGCACUCCGGCUCUUUCAUAUUUUCCUUUUUAAUUUCCUUUUUUUUUCUCUCCUUUUUUGUUUUUGUAAAUUGAAAACUGUGUGCGAUGCGGAUGCAGCAUUGCGUGGCAAUUACACAGGCCCUCAUAAA
Molecule: non-coding RNA, 1139 nt
Organism: Drosophila kikkawai
Lineage: Eukaryota; Metazoa; Arthropoda; Insecta; Diptera; Drosophilidae
Source: RefSeq, a predicted model, not a curated record